This 1509-nucleotide ribosomal RNA is filed under the name Helicobacter pylori. RNAcentral's name for it is "bacterial SSU rRNA". It matches the Rfam family "Bacterial small subunit ribosomal RNA". The record is from RNAcentral. Lineage: Bacteria; Pseudomonadati; Campylobacterota; Epsilonproteobacteria; Campylobacterales; Helicobacteraceae.
UUUAUGGAGAGUUUGAUCCUGGCUCAGAGUGAACGCUGGCGGCGUGCCUAAUACAUGCAAGUCGAACGAUGAAGCUUCUAGCUUGCUAGAAUGCUGAUUAGUGGCGCACGGGUGAGUAACGCAUAGGUCAUGUGCCUCUUAGUUUGGGAUAGCCAUUGGAAACGAUGAUUAAUACCAGAUACUCCCUACGGGGGAAAGAUUUAUCGCUAAGAGAUCAGCCUAUGUCCUAUCAGCUUGUUGGUAAGGUAAUGGCUUACCAAGGCUAUGACGGGUAUCCGGCCUGAGAGGGUGAACGGACACACUGGAACUGAGACACGGUCCAGACUCCUACGGGAGGCAGCAGUAGGGAAUAUUGCUCAAUGGGGGAAACCCUGAAGCAGCAACGCCGCGUGGAGGAUGAAGGUUUUAGGAUUGUAAACUCCUUUUGUUAGAGAAGAUAAUGACGGUAUCUAACGAAUAAGCACCGGCUAACUCCGUGCCAGCAGCCGCGGUAAUACGGAGGGUGCAAGCGUUACUCGGAAUCACUGGGCGUAAAGAGCGCGUAGGCGGGAUAGUCAGUCAGGUGUGAAAUCCUAUGGCUUAACCAUAGAACUGCAUUUGAAACUACUAUUCUAGAGUGUGGGAGAGGUAGGUGGAAUUCUUGGUGUAGGGGUAAAAUCCGUAGAGAUCAAGAGGAAUACUCAUUGCGAAGGCGACCUGCUAGAACAUUACUGACGCUGAUUGCGCGAAAGCGUGGGGAGCAAACAGGAUUAGAUACCCUGGUAGUCCACGCCCUAAACGAUGGAUGCUAGUUGUUGGAGGGCUUAGUCUCUCCAGUAAUGCAGCUAACGCAUUAAGCAUCCCGCCUGGGGAGUACGGUCGCAAGAUUAAAACUCAAAGGAAUAGACGGGGACCCGCACAAGCGGUGGAGCAUGUGGUUUAAUUCGACGAUACACGAAGAACCUUACCUAGGCUUGACAUUGAGAGAAUCCGCUAGAAAUAGUGGAGUGUCUAGCUUGCUAGACCUUGAAAACAGGUGCUGCACGGCUGUCGUCAGCUCGUGUCGUGAGAUGUUGGGUUAAGUCCCGCAACGAGCGCAACCCCCUUUCUUAGUUGCUAACAGGUCAUGCUGAGAACUCUAAGGAUACUGCCUCCGUAAGGAGGAGGAAGGUGGGGACGACGUCAAGUCAUCAUGGCCCUUACGCCUAGGGCUACACACGUGCUACAAUGGGGUGCACAAAGAGAAGCAAUACUGCGAAGUGGAGCCAAUCUUCAAAACGCCUCUCAGUUCGGAUUGUAGGCUGCAACUCGCCUGCAUGAAGCUGGAAUCGCUAGUAAUCGCAAAUCAGCCAUGUUGCGGUGAAUACGUUCCCGGGUCUUGUACUCACCGCCCGUCACACCAUGGGAGUUGUGUUUGCCUUAAGUCAGGAUGCUAAAUUAGCUACUGCCCACGGCACACACAGCGACUGGGGUGAAGUCGUAACAAGGUAACCGUAGGUGAACCUGCGGUUGGAUCACCUCCUUUCUAGA